Molecule: ribosomal RNA, 738 nt
Organism: Gossypium raimondii (Peruvian cotton)
Lineage: Eukaryota; Viridiplantae; Streptophyta; Magnoliopsida; Malvales; Malvaceae
Rfam family: Bacterial large subunit ribosomal RNA
Source: Rfam
GAGUAACGAAAACAUUGGUGAGAAUCUAAUGCCCCGAAAACCCAAGGGUUCCUCCGUAAAGUUCGUCCACGGAGGGUAAGUCAAGGCCUAAGAUCGGGCCAAAAGGCAUAGUUGAUGGACAACAGGUGAAUAUUUCUAUACUAUCCCUUAUUGGUCCCGAGGGAGGAGGGGGCUAGGUUAGCUAAAAGAUGGUUAUCGGUUCAAGGACGCAAUAGGCCCCUAUUUUUUCAGGUUAAGAAGGGGUAGAGAAAUGCCCCGAGCCAAUGUUCGAGUACCAAGAGCUACGACGCUAAAGUAACCUAUGUUAUACUCCCAAAAAAAGCUCGAAUGACCUUCAACAAAAGGGUACCUGUACCCGAAACCUACACAGGUGGGUAGGUAGAACCUAGGGCGCGAGACAACUCUCUCUAAGGAAGUUGGCAAAAUAGCCUCGUAACUUUAAGAGAAGGGGUGCCUCCUUACAAAGGAGGUCGCAGUGACCAGGCCCAGGCGACUAUUUACCAAAAACACAAGUCUCCGCAAAGUCGUAAAACCAUAUAUGGGGGCUGACACUUACCCAGUGCUGGAAGGUCAAGGAAGUUGGUGACCUGAUGACAGGGGAGCCGGCGAUUGAAGCCCCGGUGAAUGGCGGCCGUAACUAUAACCGUCCUAAGGUAGCGAAAUUCUUUGUUGGGUAAGUUCUGACCCGCACGAAAGGAUAAUACUAGAUUCCACUGCAUUGUUAAAGAAUAUGUUAGA